GGAAGCUGACUGUGUAACUCCUAGUUGAGUGUGAAGACCUGAGGUAUCAGGGGUAGGGGUUGCUCUGCUUGUGUAAGUCCCAUAGUGUGAAGGCCAGAGAACCAAGAGAUGGUCAAGAAGAGAGGCCUCUUCCUUCUCCUUCUCGACCUACUCAAAGUAAAGAUGAGGAUGAAGACCCUUAAGAUGAUCCACUCCCACUUAAUGAAUGAAACUUUUGUGGAUAGCUAAGUUACUGCUAGCCAUCUGAUUAUAGCAAUGGCUUCCAGGAGCAUCACGACCUGUGCAGACUCCCCAGCAUCAUAA
This 303-nucleotide long non-coding RNA is filed under the name Homo sapiens (human). RNAcentral describes it as "HSALNT0224006". Lineage: Eukaryota; Metazoa; Chordata; Mammalia; Primates; Hominidae. The record is from RNAcentral.